AUGUUAAUUUAGUCUUAGCCAGCGUUUUUGGACAUUGGUGCAGUCUUGUCAUCGUCUCGUCUUCGUCAUGGAAAAAAAGACAAAUGGUUCAGCAAAACAAGU
This is a long non-coding RNA of Etheostoma cragini (Arkansas darter), 102 nucleotides long. RefSeq lists it as uncharacterized. The record is from RefSeq and is a predicted model, not a curated record. The transcript is spliced from 4 exons. Lineage: Eukaryota; Metazoa; Chordata; Actinopteri; Perciformes; Percidae.